AGAACCCUGGAAAUUGACAAGCAAAAUACAAAGUCUUUGCAAUACGAACUUUAAACUCUUACAAAAGAGUACAAAUACAAAAUAAACCUAUUUUACAACCACAAGCCAAGUUAUGAAACUGGAGUUCUUUUGCUGGUGGUCUGAGCAUUUGUGCAAGUGCUUUCUAUAGCGGUAACAUAUAAGGAGCUCUGCCGAGACGGCAUUCCCCGCCAAUAAAUUCCGGGGAUGCGUAAAAAAGGAAAUCCACCACGCAUAUUGGUAACCCUGACAAUCAAACGUUUGUUGCCAUAUUGUCGCAGACGCACGUGACGCCCAGAAGGAUGUAUACACAGGAUACAUGACUGGAGGGGUGACAGGGAAAGCAUUGCCCAGUGACGCGUGUCCUGUGCAUAAUCGGGAUUUGCAUGCAUCAACUGGAACUGUAACGGCAUUAUGGCCCAAGGAAAUACAUCAUCAAAAGAAGUCGGACCAGACUGGUCUGGACCGUCUUUUGGGAGAUACACUGGAAAUAAUAACUCCCAACCCUCAUAAUAAUGAACAAAAUAUUUAUUGGAGUUAUCGAAAGCCACAUAAAAUUGAAUUGGAACUUAAGUAAUGGAAGACGUACUUAAUUUCCCUGGUGUAACCCAACGAAUCGGAAGUCCCGGUAGCAACCACCUUUCUGAAGGAUGCGUUGCAGGUCCUUUGAUGCGUGAACUGUUUGCGGCAAGUAAGGCGAGUCCUGGGGUGGGAAUCCUGGACGCCUCGUCCUCAUCCUCCGGUGACAGCCGGCAACCAACCUUGACAACCGAAAGUUGCAUGCGCUGCACAUUGCCCCUUAGCCGAACCCCAGCGCGUGUCCUUCUAAUAAGCCUAAUGCAUGGGAAACGGGAAGUAUGGGGGAAGGGCCAGGAGGUCACACCAGAGAGCUGACAAUAUUGGUAAUAUUUUAAAGUGGACCCGAGCACACGACCCAGCCGCCGCUUGUUGUCAUAAAGAGACCUUUAAUUAAAUUCAUAUUUGGACACACAA
Drosophila biarmipes is the source of this 1011-nucleotide long non-coding RNA. RefSeq lists it as uncharacterized. The record is from RefSeq and is a predicted model, not a curated record. The transcript has 2 exons. Lineage: Eukaryota; Metazoa; Arthropoda; Insecta; Diptera; Drosophilidae.